ACGAACGCUGGCGGCGUGCUUAACACAUGCCAGUCGAACGGGAAGGCCCUGCUUUUGUGGGGUGCUCGAGUGGCGAACGGGUGAGUAACACGUGAGUAACCUGCCCUUGACUUUGGGAUAACUUCAGGAAACUGGGGCUAAUACCGGAUAGGAGCUCCUGCUGCAUGGUGGGGGUUGGAAAGUUUCGGCGGUUGGGGAUGGACUCGCGGCUUAUCAGCUUGUUGGUGGGGUAGUGGCUUACCAAGGCUUUGACGGGUAGCCGGCCUGAGAGGGUGACCGGCCACAUUGGGACUGAGAUACGGCCCAGACUCCUACGGGAGGCAGCAGUGGGGAAUAUUGCACAAUGGGCGGAAGCCUGAUGCAGCAACGCCGCGUGCGGGAUGACGGCCUUCGGGUUGUAAACCGCUUUCGCCUGUGACGAAGCGUGAGUGACGGUAAUGGGUAAAGAAGCACCGGCUAACUACGUG
Molecule: ribosomal RNA, 467 nt
Filed under: uncultured bacterium
Lineage: Bacteria
Description: partial 16S ribosomal RNA
Rfam family: Bacterial small subunit ribosomal RNA
Source: RNAcentral